Molecule: ribosomal RNA, 454 nt
Filed under: uncultured soil bacterium
Lineage: Bacteria
Description: bacterial SSU rRNA
Rfam family: Bacterial small subunit ribosomal RNA
Source: RNAcentral
AGAUUGAACGCUGGCGGCAUGCCUUACACAUGCAAGUCGAACGGUAACGCGGGGCAACCUGGCGACGAGUGGCGAACGGGUGAGUAAUGCAUCGGAACGUGCCCAGUAGUGGGGGAUAGGCUCGGCGAAAGCCGGAUUAAUACCGCAUACGACCUAAGGGUGAAAGCGGGGGACCGUAAGGCCUCGCGCUAUUGGAGCGGCCGAUGUCAGAUUAGGUUGUUGGUGGGGUAAAAGCCUACCAAGCCGACGAUCUGUAGCUGGUCUGAGAGGACGACCAGCCACACGGGGACUGAGACACGGCCCAGACUCCUACGGGAGGCAGCAGUGGGAAUUUGGACAAUGGGGGCAACCUGAUCCAGCCAUGCCGCGUGCGGGAAGAAGGCCGUUCGGUUGUAAACGCUUUUGUCAGGGAAGAACGCUACGUGGUUAAUCCGUACGGGUAAUGACGAGUACC